RNAcentral lists this ribosomal RNA (365 nucleotides) under uncultured bacterium. RNAcentral describes it as "bacterial SSU rRNA". It matches the Rfam family "Bacterial small subunit ribosomal RNA", at positions 527 to 896 of the family's 1533-position model. The record is from RNAcentral.
GUAGGGGGCAAACGUUGUCCGGAUUUACUGGGUGUAAAGGGUGCUCAGGCGGUCUUGUAAGUUAGAAGUGAAAUCCUAGAGCUUAACUCUGGAACUGCUUUUAAUACUGCAGGGCCUGAAUGUGGAAGAGGAGGAUGGAAUUUCUGGUGUAGCAGUGAAAUGCGUAGAUAUCAGAAAGAACACCAGUGGCGAAGGCGGUCCUCUGGUCCACUAUCGACGCUAAAGCACGAAAGCGUGGGGAGCAAACAGGAUUAGAUACCCUGGUAGUCCACGCCUUAAACGAUGAAUACUAGACGUUGGGGUUAAACUCAGUGUCGCAGCUAACGCAUUAAGUAUUCCACCUGGGGAGUACGAUCGCAAGGUUG